RNAcentral lists this ribosomal RNA (559 nucleotides) under uncultured bacterium. RNAcentral describes it as "bacterial SSU rRNA". It matches the Rfam family "Bacterial small subunit ribosomal RNA", at positions 119 to 674 of the family's 1533-position model. The record is from RNAcentral.
CGGAAUCUACCUUUUCGUGGGGGAUAACGUAGGGAAACUUACGCUAAUACCGCAUACGACCUUCGGGUGAAAGCAGGGGACCUUCGGGCCUUGCGCGGAUAGAUGAGCCGAUGUCGGAUUAGCUAGUUGGCGGGGUAAAGGCCCACCAAGGCGACGAUCCGUAGCUGGUCUGAGAGGAUGAUCAGCCACACUGGAACUGAGACACGGUCCAGACUCCUACGGGAGGCAGCAGUGGGGAAUAUUGGACAAUGGGCGCAAGCCUGAUCCAGCCAUACCGCGUGGGUGAAGAAGGCCUUCGGGUUGUAAAGCCCUUUUGUUGGGAAAGAAAAGCAAUCGAUUGAUACUCGGUUGUUCUGACGGUACCCAAAGAAUAAGCACCGGCUAACUUCGUGCCAGCAGCCGCGGUAAUACGAAGGGUGCAAGCGUUACUCGGAAUUACUGGGCGUAAAGCGUGCGUAGGUGGUUGUUUAAGUCUGUUGUGAAAGCCCUGGGCUCAACCUGGGAAUUGCAGUGGAUACUGGGCAACUAGAGUGUGGUAGAGGGUAGUGGAAUUCCCGGU